GACGAACGCUGGCGGCGUGCUUAACACAUGCAAGUCGAACGGUGAAGCUCCAGCUUGCUGGAGUGGAUCAGUGGCGAACGGGUGAGUAACAUGUGAGCAACCUGCCCCUGACUCUGGAAUAAGCGCUGGAAACGGCGUCUAAUACUGGAUACGAGAAGGGUCCGCAUGGGCACUUUCUGGAAAGUUUUUCGGUUGGGGAUGGGCUCGCGGCCUAUCAGCUUGUUGGUGAGGUAAUGGCUCAGCAAGGCGACGACGGGUAGCCGGCCUGAGAGGGCGACCGGCGACACUGGGACUGAGACACGGCCCAGACUCCUACGGGAGGCAGCAGGGGGGAAUAUUGCACAAUGGGCGAAAGCCUGAUGCAGCGACGCCGCGUGAGGGAUGACGGCCUUCGGGUUGUAAACCUCUUUCAGCAGGGAAGAAGCGAAAGUGACGGUACCUGCAGAAGAAGCACCGGCUAACUACGUG
Molecule: ribosomal RNA, 468 nt
Filed under: uncultured bacterium
Lineage: Bacteria
Description: partial 16S ribosomal RNA
Rfam family: Bacterial small subunit ribosomal RNA
Source: RNAcentral